RNAcentral lists this ribosomal RNA (469 nucleotides) under uncultured bacterium. RNAcentral describes it as "partial 16S ribosomal RNA". It matches the Rfam family "Bacterial small subunit ribosomal RNA", at positions 28 to 507 of the family's 1533-position model. The record is from RNAcentral.
GACGAACGCUGGCGGCGUGCUUAACACAUGCAAGUCGAACGGAAAGGCCCUGCUUGCCGGGUGCUCGAGUGGCGAACGGGUGAGUAACACGUGGGUGAUCUGCCCCUUACUUUGGGAUAAGCCUGGGAAACUGGGUCUAAUACUGGAUAGGACCAUGCUGUAGGUGGUGUGGUGGAAAGAUUAGUUUCGGUAAGGGAUGAGCUCGCGGCGGAUCAGCUUGUUGGUGGGGUAAUGGCCUACCAAGGCGUCGACGGGGAGCCGGCCGGAGAGGGUGGACGGCCACAUUGGGACUGCGAUACGGCGCAGCAUACUACGAGAGGCGGCAGUGGGGGAUAUUGCACAAUAGGCGCAAGACUGAUGCAGCGACGCCGCGUGGGGGAUGACGGCCUUCGGGUUGUAAACACCUUUCAGCCAUGACGAAGCCCUUGUGGUGACGGUAGUGGUAGAAGAAGCACCGGCUAACUACGUG